CAGUCGCCACGGGAAUACGUAGGGCGCAAGCGUUGUCCGGAAUUAUUGGGCGUAAAGCGUGCGCAGGCGGUUAUAUAAGACAGAUGUGAAAUCCCCGGGCUCAACCUGGGAACUGCAUUUGUGACUGUAUAGCUAGAGUACGGCAGAGGGGGAUGGAAUUCCGCGUGUAGCAGUGAAAUGCGUAGAUAUGCGGAGGAACACCGAUGGCGAAGGCAAUCCCCUGGGCCUGUACUGACGCUCAUGCACGAAAGCGUGGGGAGCAAACAGGAUUAGAUACCCGAGUAGUCCCUGUCUCUUAUAC
Molecule: ribosomal RNA, 301 nt
Filed under: uncultured bacterium
Lineage: Bacteria
Description: partial 16S ribosomal RNA
Rfam family: Bacterial small subunit ribosomal RNA
Source: RNAcentral